UGAACGCUGGCGGCAGGCCUCCCACAUGCAAGUCGAACGGUAACAGGCAGCAGCUUGCUGCUUCGCUGACGAGUGGCGGACGGGUGAGUAAUGUCUGGGAAACUGCCUGAUGGAGGGGGAUAACUACUGGAAACGGUAGCUAAUACCGCAUAACGUCGCAAGACCAAAGAGGGGGACCUUAGGGCCUCUUGCCAUCGGAUGUGCCCAGAUGGGAUUAGCUAGUAGGUGGGGUAACGGCUCACCUAGGCGACGAUCCCUAGCUGGUCUGAGAGGAUGACCAGCCACACUGGAACUGAGACACGGUCCAGACUCCUACGGGAGGCAGCAGUGGGGAAUAUUGCACAAUGGGCGCAAGCCUGAUGCAGCCAUGCCGCGUGUAUGAAGAAGGCCUUCGGGUUGUAAAGUACUUUCAGCGGGGAGGAAGGGAGUAAAGUUAAUACCUUUGCUCAUUGACGUUACCCGCAGAAGAAGCACCGGCUAACUCCGUG
RNAcentral lists this ribosomal RNA (488 nucleotides) under uncultured bacterium. RNAcentral describes it as "partial 16S ribosomal RNA". It matches the Rfam family "Bacterial small subunit ribosomal RNA", at positions 30 to 507 of the family's 1533-position model. The record is from RNAcentral.